UCCAUAAAGAAAAUGUUCUAACCCAUGAGUGUAUAAGUUUGGUACAUUUCAAGAGGUUAAAUAAGUUUCAAAAAAUAUUGGUAACAAAUUAAAUGAUUUCUAGAACAUUCAAAAGAAAAAUAACAAUUCAAAAUUAUCUCAAGUAAGGUCUAGUUCUUCAGCGUCUUUAUCAUCCAUUUAUUGAUCUACUCCACCUACAAAAACGGAUAAAUAAAGGUAUUUAUCCUUCAAGAGAAUCCGAUUAGGAAUACUCAUAGUACAAAUUGCCAUGAAAAAGAAAAAAAUAAAGAAGUCGGUUUCUGAAGACUGUAAAUUUAUAUCGAAAUAUAUGAAAAUAUGCCCAACAUCAGGGACCAUUCCCAUACUUUGCUUGUCCGUUUAUUGAAAGUUAUCUCAAACAAAUAGGUAAGCGGGCCUUAGGAUAAAAGCAAGAACAACACAAGCAAAUGAAUGAAGUUGUUAUGUCCAAUAUUUUGUGAUUUUACUUCUCAAUUGAACAAAAAUAGCACACUUCUAGAGAUGGGAAUUAUAGUUGAGAGUUUCACUAAAUCAUUUUAUUAUGUAACAAGAUAAUCUUGAACAUUCUUUGUUUCACCAUAUUCCUAGAAAGCUAGAGCAAGAGAAGCAUAAUCAACAAUGCUUUCAAACAGACUUUCCAACUCAUAUCCAGUACAAAAGCUUAAGCAAAACAGAAUGACAAAAAAAUAUUCUUACCAGAGGCAAAAGGAAAAAAACAUGCGUCUCAAUGAUGAGACAGUUAAUAGUAGAAAGAUUAUCAAUUUGUGUUCCAUUCCUACUUUAGCAGCAACAUCUAAAGUUCACAUUCACAGUUUUCAUUUGCUUUUUUACAUUAAGAUUCUCUCAACAAUUAUUAUUUUACUUCAUCAAUAUGUCAUGAAGGCCAACUAAGUAAUUCUACAAUAAUGUUCUGAAAGUCUUUAAAUAUCGUGUCAAAGUUUUCUCUGAUGCUAUUUAUAUAAAGAUACAACAACUACAAUUAUGUUUCAAUCCUAUAGUAGUAAGGUGAACCUCAAUAUCCAUUUAUACAUUGUCACGUUACCCCUCCAUUUAAAAUUUAUUUUAAUACAUGUACUCGGCUGUAAACCACUAAUCAAGAUGAUUAGAUUAUACAACCAAAACUGUGCAGAUGAUAUCUUUCACCCAAGAAGACUGCUACCUUUACUACAGAACGAACUGCUAAUAUAAAAAUGGUGUCCUUGUAGAAUCAAAACUGCAAAGCUGGGCAAUCUUUAAUUGCUCAAGCUGGAGAUGAAAUUGUAUUAGGAAGAAAAGUGAAGAACACAGAUACAUUACCACACCAGAAUCAGAUUAUUAGCCAACUUAAUUCAACUUAUCACCAACAUUACCUCUAUAAAGAGUUAGGGCCACAAUACAAAUCAAGGAAUAGGGGUAUGCAUCUCAAGCCAGAAAUCUAAUUUAAGGUCGAAACAGAGCUUUUCAUGCAGACAAGACUAACAGGUAGGAAUCAGUAUCCUACACAGCAGCAUUCUAAUGAGUAUAUCAUUUUUAAGGUAAAGUUUUAUUAAUGAAGGUAACAAGAUGGUAUAAUUAUGCCAGACCAAAAACUACCAUAAUAAUCUACAACAAAUCAACUAUCUCCACCAAGAAAUCUAUAUACUGCACCCCCACACAACCACCAUCUACAUUCUCUAUGCUGCUGCUCAUGCAACUCAGAUGAUUAACCCUUUGGAGUCUUUUCAAUUGAUAUCCUUCACCAAACUAACACACAUACCAACUCACAUAUACCUCACAGAACUUCCUCCUUUCUACCACCUCCUCUAACAAAUCAGUUCACAUCUUAAUUGAGGAAAAGAGAGCAGACUUAUAGUUGGAGGGUGAACCACAUUACCCUCCCCAGACCCCACUUUGUUGGACUAUACUGGGUAGUUGUUGUUGUUGUUGUUUGCUCUUUUUGCAGGGAUCUGGAAGAGCUUUUGGUCACUUGUUACACCUUCAGUCAGUCGUAUUAGUAUCCCAGAUACUCAUUCUGCUGAAUGUGAAUCAAGUUAACCAAAGUUCCACCAGAUUAGAGCCACAGGAAUAGCCAAGAGUCACAAACCAGCCUAGUCCAAGGCAGGUUUACAUGCUGAAACAUAAACAGUUCUGAACCAAGAGUCACUAAACAGUCUACAGCUGCUUGCACAAGAAGAAAAAAGUUUGUUUAUAUAGACUUAUUGGUUAAUUUUGUUGAUAUAGAAGAGAUAAGAAGUAAAAUAAAAAAUUAAAGCAAAUCUAUAAUGUGAGACAGAAGAAGAAAAAAGAAGCAAAAGUAUAGAAAAUUAUAAAACAGUAAAACUAAUCUAAAUAAAAACAUCGUAGUUUUACCAUGAUAGAGUCGUGCAGGAACAAUCCUCUGAUUAGGAGAAGAGAAGCCAGUGCUCAUACCAGCCCAGUCUAAGUGAGAAUUUCAUCUGUGAAGGGUGCAAAUUGCAAAUAUUUCGAUUAGGCAAUCCAAGAGACUAUUGUUACAUCACAGAGAUAAUAUCUUUGAGUUGAAGAGAGACAGUCCUAUGUACUUUUGUAUCAUCGGCAGUUUCAUGCAGCUCAGGUGAAUUAUACAUACUUAUCAAUAAGAGAAUAAAGUUGAUUGCGGAUAAGAAUUUUCUCUGACUUAUUCUACAGACUAAAGCUGCAGUCAGAUAAAUUUUCAAACAAUAGAACUCGCUCUUUCAUAGUCUAAAGUAGGAAGCAUCUUCUGAAGAGAUAGUUUCGCUUAAAUAUACAACAGUACAAUGUGUUAAACAAGGUUAAUCCGUUAGAAACAACAUAGACAUGGUGAUACCAUGAUUUAACAAUCUUUGCAACAACUGAAUCAUGACAUUUUAGAUUCUAACCAUAUAGUAGGAAUACAUAUACAAAUAUAACAACUGCCCAGUAUAGUCCCACAAAGUGGGGCAUAGUAGGAAUACAUAUAUGAUGAAGAAAUGAGAGUAUUGGGAACACAAACGGAGUAUACAAAGAAGUAACAAAAAGGCUAAGAAUAUACAGAGCUCCAAAAUCUGCAUCCUGCAAAAAGUAGGUCACAUAAAAGUUAGAUGUAAGUACCUUGAUGGGAUUGGAGUUCCAAUAUGGGAUCGGAGUUCCAAUAUUCAAGAAGAUCCUUAAAGUGAGACCCUGGAACAUCUACCGGCCUAAAUAAAUGAAAUUCAACAUCAAGAAAGAUAUCGACAGAUCAAUGGGAUAGGAGAAGCUUCAAACAUCAUCGAAAAGUUAAAUCAAUGUUAAUCAGGCAUAUCAAAGGAAAAAAAAAGAAUUAUUGCAAAAAUUUACAAACAAAAUGGAAGAUAGAUAAGUGGAUCCACGAUUUAAACUUGACAACUUCGGCCUUUAAAGGUCUUAGAAUUGAAUUCGUUAUACUUGUGCAAUACUUAAUAAACCAUUAAGUUCGAAAUAUGCACUAGAAGUAGUUAACCACUAUUGCACGCCAAAGAAUUGAAGACACGGAUUCUAAAAACAGGUGUCCGCAAUUCCUUUUGGUGUCUGCAAGAGGAAUAUCCAUUCUAUCCAAACAAAUAGAAUAAAAUAUGGCCAAACUCUCCUUGAGAAAGGAUCUUAUAAAAUAUUAAAUUUGUUACCGAUAAUCUUAGUUUGGUAGCAGAAAUAUGAUACAACUUCUACCUACCUUGUAACAACAUAUAAGCUCAGAAGGUACUCUUAAGUAUCUUCACACAAUCGCAUUUUAAGUAACAAGUUUUAGAACGAUUACAAAUAUAAACAACUCCACCUCUUGAACUAGAGAUUUACCUCGUGCUUUUUUAAAGGGUCAAAGGGAAAAACUAUGCGACCUUUAUAGUAAAAAAUAGGAUAAAAUCACGAUGCAAUUUCGUCAUUAAACUGAGAGCAAAAAAGGGAUGACUUAUAGUGCAAAAGAACCCUAAAAAAUUUCUAGUAAUCGGAACAAAGCUUCAACAGAAAAAUACUCACAACUUUAUGAAAGGGAGAUACUAAUAAGUUGACCAAGAAAGAUGAGGGCUCAUCAAUUCAUUUCCAACUUGUCUUUCACCAGACAAAUACCUUCAAUUUCCUGCCGAUGAACUUGAAUUUUGAGAAAUCCUAGAGGAUUAGCAAGACUAAUACUGGCCUUAAAGGGAUUUUCCGAUGUUGACAUUGCCGGUUCAGCCGAUGACGCUUUUGUUUUCUCCUUGUAAUCUCCGACAGCAGAGGCGCCGAUGAUGGUUUGGAAGAGAGAGAGUGUGAAAGAGUUUAUGUGAGUGGGGGUGACUUAGAUCGAUCUGUAGUAGGUAUACUCUUAUUUUAUUGAAUAAAAAAAAUACUAAUUAGAGCAGGCCUCAUUUAAUUUAGCGGGUGUCGUCAAAAAUACUAAUUUAGAGAGGGAAUUCAAACCCAUUGCAAUAAAACAAAACUUUAAGU
RNAcentral lists this long non-coding RNA (4392 nucleotides) under Nicotiana benthamiana. Its description in RNAcentral is "long non-coding RNA (NBEN_LNC005667)". The record is from RNAcentral. Lineage: Eukaryota; Viridiplantae; Streptophyta; Magnoliopsida; Solanales; Solanaceae.